GAUGAACGCUGGCGGCGUGCCUAAUACAUGCAAGUCGAGCGAACAGACGAGGAGCUUGCUCCUCUGACGUUAGCGGCGGACGGGUGAUUAACACGUGGAUAACCUACCUAUAAGACUGGGAUAACUUCGGGAAACCGUAUCUAAUACCGGAUAAUAUAUUGAACUUCAUUGUUCAAUAGUUAAAGACGGUUUUGCUGUCACUUAUAGAUUGAUCCGCGCCGCAUUAGCUAGUUGGUAAGGUAACGGCUUACCAAGGCAACGAUGCGUAGCCGACCUGAGAGGGGGAUCGGCCACACUGGAACUGAGACACGGUCCAGACUCCUACGGGAGGCAGCAGUAGGGAAUCUUCCGCGAUGGGCGAAAGCUUGACGGAGCAACGCCGCGUGAGUGAUGAAGCUCUUCGGAUCGUAAAACUCUGUUAUUAGGGAAGAACAAAUGUGUAAGUAACUAUGCACGUCUUGACGGUACCUGAUCAGAAAGCCACGGCUAACUACGUG
Molecule: ribosomal RNA, 497 nt
Filed under: uncultured bacterium
Lineage: Bacteria
Description: partial 16S ribosomal RNA
Rfam family: Bacterial small subunit ribosomal RNA
Source: RNAcentral